This 274-nucleotide ribosomal RNA is filed under the name uncultured Bacteroides sp. RNAcentral describes it as "partial 16S ribosomal RNA". It matches the Rfam family "Bacterial small subunit ribosomal RNA", at positions 69 to 339 of the family's 1533-position model. Lineage: Bacteria; Pseudomonadati; Bacteroidota; Bacteroidia; Bacteroidales; Bacteroidaceae. The record is from RNAcentral.
AUGGUCUUAGCUUGCUAAGGCCGAUGGCGACCGGCGCACGGGUGAGUAACGCGUAUCCAACCUGCCUUACACUCUUGGACAGCCUUCUGAAAGGAAGAUUAAUACAAGAUGGCAUCAUGAGUCCGCAUGUUCACAUGAUUAAAGGUAUUCCGGUAGACGAUGGGGAUGCGUUCCAUUAGGUAGUAGGCGGGGUAACGGCCCACCUAGCCGACGAUGGAUAGGGGUUCUGAGAGGAAGGUCCCCCACAUUGGAACUGAGACACGGUCCAAACUCC